UAGGUUAAAAUACCCAUAUUUGUCCCGUGUAAAUUGUAUAAUUAUUGUAUAGUUUUUUAUUCUUUUUAUUUAGUUUUAGUAUUAGAUUACAUUAUUUGGUGUUUUGGCAGGUUCUGGUGCAAAUGGAGCGGAAACGAGUAAUAAAGAAAUAACCUGCCAGUUGAGUAGAGUAGGGCGCCAAUGACUGAACUAAAAUAUUGCAACCAUUUUCCGUGAUUAGGCCGAACCCGCUAUUUCUAUGUUGCGGUUGCCAUCUUUACUAUUAUUUAUUGGUGUGGUGUUGGGCUUUUAAUACAUAUAUAAAACAAUUGUAUCCAUACAUCAGAUGCACGUGAGUCUAGUUUUGGAGGAUAUCAAGUGGACAUCAACAACUAAAUGGGUUGCCAUGAUUUUGUUUGGGCUGUGAACAAAAGAAAGAGUGUGGCGCAAAAAUUUUAGGGAGGCAACAGCAAGUGGAAUUAUGACAUUGGGCCGCAAGAAAGGCAUAAAACCCAACCAUAUUAUCUUUCGACAAACAUCAGUUGGAAAAGGGGAGUUAGACGACAGAAGGAUAAGGACGACAACAUCAGAGGACGGACGCACGGAGAAGAUUAUUUGGAGAGGGAGGUUCGAUCAGCCGUAAAAAGAAGAAGGGUUCAAGAUUCAAAGCCGCAAUCAAGAUUCAAGUCCGGGUUCACAACGAGUUAGUGUUUUGGUUUUAAUUUACUUUAUGUUAUUCGAACCAAUGAACAUGAUUUGUUAUUUAUUUGAGACUUAUUUCUUUUUAGUGACUAUGGUUCUUGGCUAAUUUUCUUUAACUACCUAGAUAUGGUUGAAUGA
Molecule: long non-coding RNA, 819 nt
Organism: Helianthus annuus (common sunflower)
Lineage: Eukaryota; Viridiplantae; Streptophyta; Magnoliopsida; Asterales; Asteraceae
Exons: 2
Source: RefSeq, a predicted model, not a curated record